UUAACCUCUACUGGGCAACUCUGAUGGGAUGCGGGAGGCAACGUUUAGUCAUAACCUUCUUGUUGUUCAAGAUCUAGAUCUUGAUUUUGCUAACCUGAAAUGGUUAAAUAAGGGAGAUAAGCUACAGUAGCCCAGUAAGAAUGUCAACAUUUAACACUGGUACAGAAAAUCAAAUGUUGGUAAAAAUUGUAAAACAUCCUAUGGAGCCAUUAUCU
RNAcentral lists this long non-coding RNA (215 nucleotides) under Carica papaya (papaya). RNAcentral describes it as "long non-coding RNA (CPAP_LNC002719)". The record is from RNAcentral. Lineage: Eukaryota; Viridiplantae; Streptophyta; Magnoliopsida; Brassicales; Caricaceae.